This 291-nucleotide unclassified non-coding RNA is filed under the name Glomus sp. Its description in RNAcentral is "partial contains 5.8S ribosomal RNA and internal transcribed spacer 2". The stretch from base 1 to 65 matches the Rfam family "5.8S ribosomal RNA", at positions 84 to 154 of the family's 154-position model. The record is from RNAcentral. Lineage: Eukaryota; Fungi; Glomeromycota; Glomeromycetes; Glomerales; Glomeraceae.
GUGAAUCAUCGAAUUUUUGAACGCAAAUUGCACUCUCCUCGGAGAGUAUGCGUAUUUCAGGGUCAGGCUGUAAAAAAUCGACAUCGUUGCUGUUUCGCGGUGUAGUUCGUCGUACAUUGGGUAAUCUUAUUUCUUUUGGUUGUAGGCGACUUAAAAUUUUCUUUUUGGUUCCAUGAACGUUUCUAUGAUCUAUUUCUUUACACGUUUAAGGUAUCGUUUUUUACUAGACGUGACCAUCAUAUCGGAUCGCGUCCAUAAUCUUUCAUUAAUUGACCUCAGACAGGUAAGAGU